GGGUGAAGUUUUUAUUUUAUGACACGAGUUGCAAGUUUCCUUAGAACAGCUGUCAUAUUCACGAUUGUGAACAUUGGGAUGUAUCAGGCAAUUGAUUAAAUUUAUUGGCAACCCUUACUUCGCUUUUGACACGAGUUUUAUAAAUUUUUCACUUAAUGACAGGAAUAAAAUAGCUUUGAGUCAGCGCUCAAAUUAGGGUCAGUCGAGUAACUGUAAACAGACAUAUAUACCAUGUAUACAUGUACAUGUAUUUUUUUUUUGCCAAUUAUCACUGUGUAUCAUCGUACAGUUGAUAUAGUUACUAACCAAGCGUGGCAUGAUCGUUUUUGAAACUGACAUGGUAACGAAAUCUUUGUUUUGUUUUAUCAACAUUCAGUGUACAGUUUUCAACAUCUGAAACCCCCCCUUUUUUUUGGACAAUCAAUGCAUUUGAAUGGGGACAUGUAGUUGGACCCCCCCCCCCUUUUGUCCUGGGUUAGGAACCCCCCUUUUUAAAAUGGCUGGAUCCACCCCUGGUAAGUAACUAUAUCCGCUGUACUGGUGAUACAAGGUGUUCAUGGCAGAUCUCUAUUUUGUAUAAUUCUAGAAAUCCAAGAAAAAAUGGGCAUUAUACAUGUAUCUAUGAAGGAAAUCCUGCGAUCUAAUAAGGGUUGUGUGCACGUGGCAGACGUUAUUUUUUUAUUUAACAGUUAUUUGAAUCAUUAUACACAUGUUUAUGUUCCUAAUAUUUAAAAAAGUAUCUGUUUGUAAUUAAAUGAUUACCUUUUCUUUCAGCUUACCUGUUAAUUACAAGAUACACUAGUAUGCCAUUCCAGGUUUGAUGAAAUAUAAAGUGAUGGUUUGAAAUUGGAGAGUUUUAUUUUUAUACACAGGUAAAUUGUUUUAUCCUGCAAUCAGCUAACUUUUGUACAAUGAGACAACUCUCCUCAAGUGUCCAAAUGACACCAAAAUUAACAACUAUAGUUAUAGGUCACUGUAUGGCCUUCAACAAUGAGCAAAGCCCAUUCUGCAUAUUCAGCUACAAAAGGCCCCUAAAUUGCAAAUGUAUUUUUUAGCAAUUCAAAGGAGAAAACUAACAGUCUAAUAUGUAAACACAGCAACAUAGACAACCACUGAAUAACAGGCACAUGCAUACAGAAUGUGGAGGGGUUAAUAGUCUAUAGAUAUAGGAAGAUGUGGUGUGAGUGCCAAUGAGACAACUCUCCAUCCAAAUAACAAUUUAUAAAAGUUAACCAUUAUAUGUCAACGUACGGCCUUCAACAAGGAACCUUGGCUCACACCGAACUUAAAGCUAUAAAGGGCCCCAGAAUUACUAGUGUAAAACCAUUCUUACGGUAAAACCAAGUCCAACAGUCUAAUCUAUAUAAAAAAAACCAAGAAACACAUAUAAAUUACAUAAACAAAAGACAACUACUGUAUAUGCUAGUGAGUGUUUUUUAAUUUGUGCAAAUAAAUUUCUGUUUUCUUACAUUGUAAGAAUAUUAAUGUACAUGUAUGAUGUAUAUUCAGAAGUUAUUGUAAUGUUUUAUAUAGCAAAUUUGCAUUUUGAAUAUUGCAAUAAUGGAACUCACAUUCUGAUCUCAAUAAAUAUAACUCAUUUUAUUUUAAAGUUUUAUCAAAGUAGUGCACCUUAUUAAAAUGUGUGUGAAAAAUUACAUCCUUGUUCAAAUGUUUAAUGAAAUUUCUCGCUACAUUGAAGACCCAUUGGUGGCCUUCGGCUGUUGUCUGCUCUAUUGUCGGGUUGUUGUUGUUUUAACACAUCCCCAUUUCCUUUCUCAAUUUUAUUAUUCAUGUUAUUAAAUAAAGACCAGGGAAUUAUGUUGUUUGCAUUUUAACAGUAACUUCUUGAAGAAAUAUGUUUGCACUUACUUUUUAAUACUUUAAUCAUAAAUAUCAUGUUAAACAUUUCAUUUAAAUAUAUAUACAUGUACAUUAUAUUUGCAUUUUCAUAUUUCAGCAAUGAUGAUCACCUGUACCGAGACAGCAGAAGAAAGUUACUUAUUUAUAACUCAUCAUGACCAUUUAAUACCGAAAAUCUGAUUAAAAUUUGUUUGGAAAGCCACCAAAUAUUUCAAUGAAAAGAAGAAAAAAGACAGCAAUUCUAUAUCAUGUAUAUCAUGUACUAAGCAGAAGCAUUUGCUGUUUCAAGACCCAGUUGAAUUGGAGUUUAGUGUUUUGAUGCAGUGAGACAGAGGAAUAUUUAAGUGAACAGUUUAGCUUCUUUUUCAUCAUCGUGAUCAUUAAAGUUGAUGUUUACCAUCGGAGAGAGCUUUUUCCUCAGUUGAAAUGAAUUCUAAAUACAGGCAGUUUGGAGACUUUGUAUAUUUCUUACAAUUGGAGUUCUAAAAAGGAUUACAUUUAAAAAAAAAAUGUGUUGCAACAGUUUCAUGGAUUUAAUUUGUGGUCUCUUUCGUGAAAUAUUUGAAAAAUGCAAUAUCUAACCAAGUAGUUUAUUAGAGAUCUACAGAUGAACAUAUGACAUGUAUGACAUUCAGAUGAAUUUGAAAGAAGGAAAUAUAUUUAUUUUAUAAGACUUUAAUAUGAGUGUUUAGUUAUUUUUUGGCAAUUACAGGCAUGACAGGGAGUAAUUAUAAGAUAAAGUUAUUUGAUUUAAACAUAAAUCCUACCUACAGAUAUACAUGCGAUAUACAUAUAUGCAUGUAGGCAUACAAUUCACUGACACACCACUAAUUUGAGUUACAUGUACAUGUAAUGAUAAAAGUAAGAAUAUGACAUAUAA
This 2740-nucleotide long non-coding RNA is filed under the name Mytilus galloprovincialis (Mediterranean mussel). Lineage: Eukaryota; Metazoa; Mollusca; Bivalvia; Mytilida; Mytilidae. The record is from RNAcentral.